AAGGUCUCCGUUGGUGAACCAGCGGAGGGAUCAUUACUGAGUUACCGCUCAUCAACCCUUUGUGAACAUACCUUAACUGUUGCUUCGGCGGGUAGGCGUCCCCUAAAAAGGACGUCUCCCGGCCCUCUCCCGUCCGCGGGUGGGGCGCCCGCCGGAGGAUAACCAAACUCUGAUUUAACGACGUUUCUUCUGAGUGACACAAGCAAAUAAUCAAAACUUUUAACAACGGAUCUCUUGGUUCUGGCAUCGAUGAAGAACGCAGCGAAAUGCGAUAAGUAAUGUGAAUUGCAGAAUUCAGUGAAUCAUCGAAUCUUUGAACGCACAUUGCGCCCGCCAGCAUUCUGGCGGGCAUGCCUGUUCGAGCGUCAUUUCAACCCUCAAGCUCUGCUUGGUGUUGGGGCUCUACGGUUGACGUAGGCCCUUAAAGGUAGUGGCGGACCCUCUCGGAGCCUCCUUUGCGUAGUAACAUUUCGUCUCGCAUUGGGAUUCGGAGGGACUCUAGCCGUAAAACCCCCAAUUUUACUAAGGUUGACCUCGGAUCAGGUAGGAAUACCCGCUGAACUUAAGCAUAUCA
RNAcentral lists this ribosomal RNA (574 nucleotides) under Colletotrichum sp. ITCC 2701. RNAcentral's name for it is "eukaryotic LSU rRNA". The stretch from base 215 to 368 matches the Rfam family "5.8S ribosomal RNA". Lineage: Eukaryota; Fungi; Ascomycota; Sordariomycetes; Glomerellales; Glomerellaceae. The record is from RNAcentral.